UACAGAGGGUGCAAGCGUUAAUCGGAAUUACUGGGCGUAAAGCGUGCGUAGUCGGUUAUUUAAGUCGGGUGUGAAAGCCCCGGGCUCAACCUGGGAAUUGCAUUCGAUACUGGAUAGCUAGAGUUCGGCAGAGGGAAGCGGAAUUUCCGGUGUAGCGGUGAAAUGCGUAGAUAUCGGAAGGAACAUCAGUGGCGAAAGCGGCUUCCUGGACCAGAACUGACGAUCAGGCACGAAAGCGUGGAGAGCAAACAGGG
This 254-nucleotide ribosomal RNA is filed under the name uncultured bacterium. RNAcentral describes it as "partial 16S ribosomal RNA". It matches the Rfam family "Bacterial small subunit ribosomal RNA", at positions 524 to 777 of the family's 1533-position model. The record is from RNAcentral.